CAGUCGCCGCGGGAAUACGUAGGGUCCGAGCGUUGUCCGGAAUUAUUGGGCGUAAAGGGCUCGUAGGCGGUUUGUUGCGUCGGGAGCGAAAACCAGGUGCUUAACACCUGGCCUGCUUUCGAUACGGGCAGACUAGAGGCAUUCAGGAGAGAACGGAAUUCCUGGUGUAGCGGUGAAAUGCGCAGAUAUCAGGAGGAACACCGGUGGCGAAGGCGGUUCUCUGGGAAUGUUCUGACGCUGAGGAGCGAAAGUGUGGGGAGCGAACAGGAUUAGAUACCCCCGUAGUCCCUGUCUCUUAUAC
RNAcentral lists this ribosomal RNA (301 nucleotides) under uncultured bacterium. Its description in RNAcentral is "partial 16S ribosomal RNA". It matches the Rfam family "Bacterial small subunit ribosomal RNA", at positions 509 to 807 of the family's 1533-position model. The record is from RNAcentral.